Molecule: long non-coding RNA, 1721 nt
Filed under: Sorghum bicolor (sorghum)
Lineage: Eukaryota; Viridiplantae; Streptophyta; Magnoliopsida; Poales; Poaceae
Description: long non-coding RNA (SBIC_LNC010765)
Source: RNAcentral
CUGGAUAAAUGGGGGUGCUCUCCCCCAAGCUGGAUUUCGACAUAAUUUCUUCUGAUGUAGCUAGCAGGUGGCGGAGGUGUAUUUGAAUGUCGGCAACACCCUGACAGCGAUUAGGAUGUCCUCCGUCUGCUAGUUUUAUUUCUUGAAUUCUGUGGAGCUCAAAUAGACAACAAAGCUUUGUGGAACUGGUUAAGUGUUAGCAUAAAAUCUCUUAGCCGUUAUCAUGUUGAACUUCCUCUAAUAAAUAUUACUCUCUUUGGUAGGAUCAUAAAUUUAUUUUUAUAUUUUCAUUUUUAUAGGACAGGAAUAUAUUUAUUUUAUUUUUAUGCCACCAUAGUGAAUGUACUUAUGGGUUUUAUGUCAUGAGCAUACUCACAUGGGGCUUACUAUUUUUAACAUUUUUAUUUUCUUUUCAAGAUGAUAUGAACCUAAUUAACUAAGCAAACUUUUUUAAAUAAUUGAAAGGAAAACGAUAACUACCAAGUUUACCUCUUGGCAAGGCGUUCAGUGUUUUUAAGUCCUCCGAACGGGACUCUCUGUUUUCUCAGUCGUCAUGGGAUUCGCUGGAUGGCGUAGUCGGUGGUUCCGGCGGCGCCUGCUCUUCUUGUAUAACUAUCUUCUCUCUCUACACCUGACUCGGUGCUACGGUCUCCUCAGGACAGUUCUGUUCAAGUUGUAUGUCUUCAGACCUUACCACUUCUCCUUCGUAGUCUGCCCAUCCGUCCUUGAUGAUUUGCCUCCUCUAGUUGUGGUUACGUCAUCUUCUUCUUGUCCUGACCUUCAACCUUUCGGAAUGUCUGAUCUGCCAUCUGGAGCUGAAUGUAUGUUGGUUUGAGGGGCAUGGUUCUAAACAGGAGCUGAUAGGUGACUGGGUCGUCCUUUUUGGAGACUUAAGUCGACGAUCUUGACCUUCUUGAAAUGCAGUGACCAUCUUAGCUGACUCGGUCCACAUUUGCUUGUUCCUGUUCCCCCUGUUGGUCUUCUUCCUUGGUUUAUGUCAGGAUUGUUCUGAGAUUUGUGUAGUCUUGUUCUUGAAGGAAAACGUCUUCUUCCUCCCCUUGAUGUAGAAACUGAUCUUGGCAGCACUAGCAUAGAUGACAGCUCCCAAGGUGUUCAGGAAUGGCCUCCCUAGGAUGAUAGGUGCCCUCUCAUCAGUACCAGUCUCUAUCACCACAAAGUCUGCUGGGGCGUACAAGGUACCAACUCAGACGCAGAGGUUCUUCAAUAUUCCCUUUGGGAAACUUAGUGUCCGAUCCUGGGCAUAAUGUUGACACUGGAGCCAAAGUCACAGAGUACUUCUGGGAAGUCCACCAUGCCGAUGGAGAUCGGGAUGAUGGGACGUCCUGGAUCGCCUCUCUGAGUAGUUAGGCCUCUGUUGAUUCCAACCUUGAUUUUGUUGAGGACGGUUGUAAUAGUAGUAGUAGUAGUUGUUGUUGUAGUUCACGUCCUCAAGCUUUUCAGGGCAGUGAUUGCCUGAGUGUCCAGAAUCUCCAGUGUGUUUGUGCUCGUAGAUCCAGGUUCUUCACUUGGUGGAGUCUGGGAGUUGUAAAAGCUCCUUCAUAUUUUGCUCGAAGUGUACCUGCUCAUAGAGACAAGGCGGAGAUCAAGUGCAUGGGCCCUGUUGGCGGAAAACACCAACAGAACCAAAAGUGUAUUUGUUCUUCUCUAACCUUAAGCAUAGUGAGCAAGACAAAGUUGAUGGAUAGUAAGAUCAUGAGUGU